Molecule: ribosomal RNA, 422 nt
Filed under: uncultured Syntrophomonas sp.
Lineage: Bacteria; Bacillati; Bacillota; Clostridia; Eubacteriales; Syntrophomonadaceae
Description: bacterial SSU rRNA
Rfam family: Bacterial small subunit ribosomal RNA
Source: RNAcentral
AACGCGAAGAACCUUACCAGGUCUUGACAUCCCACGAAUUCAUCUGAAGGAUGGAGUGCCUUCGGGAGCGUGGAGACAGGUGGUGCAUGGUUGUCGUCAGCUCGUGUCGUGGAGAUGUGGUUAAGUCCGCAACGAGCGCAACCCUUGCUAUUAGUUGCUAACAGGCAGAGCUGAGCACUCUAAUGGGACUGCCGGUGACAAGCCGGAGGAAGGUGGGGAUGACGUCAAAUCAUCAUGCCCUUUAUGACCUGGGCUACACACGUGCUACAAUGGAUGGUACAGAGAGCAGCGAGGCAGCGAUGUGGAGCGAAUCUCAAAAAGCCAUUCUCAGUUCGGAUUGGAGUCUGCAACUCGACUCCAUGAAGUCGGAAUCGCUAGUAAUCGCGAAUCAGCAUGUCGCGGUGAAUGCGUUCCCGGGCCUU